RNAcentral lists this ribosomal RNA (444 nucleotides) under uncultured bacterium. Its description in RNAcentral is "bacterial SSU rRNA". It matches the Rfam family "Bacterial small subunit ribosomal RNA", at positions 331 to 792 of the family's 1533-position model. The record is from RNAcentral.
CCAGACUCCUACGGGAGGCAGCAGUGGGGAAUAUUGCACAAUGGGGGGAACCCUGAUGCAGCAACGCCGCGUGAGUGAAGAAGUCAUUCGUGAUGUAAAGCUCUAUCAGCAGGGAAGAAAAUGACGGUACCUGACUAAGAAGCCCCGGCUAACUACGUGCCAGCAGCCGCGGUAAUACGUAGGGGGCAAGCGUUAUCCGGAUUUACUGGGUGUAAAGGGAGCGUAGACGGCGAGGUAAGCCUGAAGUGGAAGCCCGCGGCCCAACCGCGGAACUGCUUUGGGAACUGUUUUGCUGGAGUAUGGGAGGGGUAAGCGGAAUUCCUGGUGUAGCGGUGAAAUGCGUAGAUAUCAGGAGGAACACCGGUGGCGAAGGCGGCUUACUGGACUGUAACUGACGUUGAGGCUCGAAAGCGUGGGGAGCAAACAGGAUUAGAUACCCGAGUA